Molecule: ribosomal RNA, 450 nt
Filed under: uncultured bacterium
Lineage: Bacteria
Description: partial 16S ribosomal RNA
Rfam family: Bacterial small subunit ribosomal RNA
Source: RNAcentral
GUGGGGAAUUUUGGACAAUGGGCGAAAGCCUGAUCCAGCCAUGCCGCGUGCAGGAUGAAGGCCUUCGGGUUGUAAACUGCUUUUGUACGGAACGAAAAGACUCCUUCUAAUAAAGGGGGUCCAUGACGGUACCGUAAGAAUAAACACCGGCUAACUACGUGCCAGCAGCCGCGGUAAUACGUAGGGUGCAAGCGUUAAUCGGAAUUACUGGGCGUAAAGCGUGCGCAGGCGGUUAUAUAAGACAGAUGUGAAAUCCCCGGGCUCAACCUGGGAACUGCAGUUGUGACUGUAUAGCUAGAGUACGGUAGAGGGGGAUGGAAUUCCGCGUGUAGCAGUGAAAUGCGUAGAUAUGCGGAGGAACACCGAUGGCGAAGGCAAUCCCCUGGACCUGUACUGACGCUCAUGCACGAAAGCGUGGGGAGCAAACAGGAUUAGAAACCCGGGUAGUCC